This 74-nucleotide transfer RNA is filed under the name Elusimicrobia bacterium CG1_02_37_114. RNAcentral's name for it is "tRNA-Arg". It matches the Rfam family "tRNA". Rfam says of the family: Transfer RNA (tRNA) molecules are approximately 80 nucleotides in length. RNAcentral also lists the same sequence under 2 other names. Lineage: Bacteria; Pseudomonadati; Elusimicrobiota. The record is from RNAcentral.
GCGCCCAUAGCUCAACUGGAUAGAGCGUCCGGCUACGAACCGUAAGGUUGCAGGUUCAAGUCCUGCUGGGCGCA